RNAcentral lists this ribosomal RNA (465 nucleotides) under uncultured Klebsiella sp. RNAcentral describes it as "bacterial SSU rRNA". It matches the Rfam family "Bacterial small subunit ribosomal RNA", at positions 338 to 795 of the family's 1533-position model. Lineage: Bacteria; Pseudomonadati; Pseudomonadota; Gammaproteobacteria; Enterobacterales; Enterobacteriaceae. The record is from RNAcentral.
CCUACGGGGGGCAGCAGUGGGGAAUAUUGCACAAUGGGCGCAAGCCUGAUGCAGCCAUGCCGCGUGUGUGAAGAAGGCCUUCGGGUUGUAAAGCACUUUCAGCGGGGAGGAAGGCGUUAAGGUUAAUAACCUCAUCGAUUGACGUUACCCGCAGAAGAAGCACCGGCUAACUCCGUGCCAGCAGCCGCGGUAAUACGGAGGGUGCAAGCGUUAAUCGGAAUUACUGGGCGUAAAGCGCACGCAGGCGGUCUGUCAAGUCGGAUGUGAAAUCCCCGGGCUCAACCUGGGAACUGCAUUCGAAACUGGCAGGCUAGAGUCUUGUAGAGGGGGGUAGAAUUCCAGGUGUAGCGGUGAAAUGCGUAGAGAUCUGGAGGAAUACCGGUGGCGAAGGCGGCCCCCUGGACAAAGACUGACGCUCAGGUGCGAAAGCGUGGGGAGCAAACAGGAUUAGAUACCCGUGUAGUC